Molecule: long non-coding RNA, 566 nt
Filed under: Hordeum vulgare
Lineage: Eukaryota; Viridiplantae; Streptophyta; Magnoliopsida; Poales; Poaceae
Description: long non-coding RNA (HVUL_LNC013026)
Source: RNAcentral
AAGCUUGUUAUGAUGCAUCGUUGUCAUUAUCAUGUACCCUUAAUCAAGAUGAAAAUGUGGAUCCCCUUACAAUAUCAGGUAUCUUUCUUAUCUAUUUUAAGUUUCAACCUAAUGAGUCAGCAUUGUACAUGGGUACUGUCUUUUUAGUAAGAUGGAUUGUUUCCUUUGUUCAAAUAGCUAACCCAACUAAUAUGACACAAGAAGCUGUCUUGAAUAACAUCAAGGAAACAAGGCAGAUACCUCCAGUUGGGCUCAAAAAAAUUGACGGACGAACAAAGAGAGCAGAUAAACGCAAAGAGGCGGGCUUUUUAUCGAAAGAAAAGAGAUAUGCUUAUAGAAGAUGAAAAUCUUGCUCCACAUACAAUGACAAGUAAGCUUGUGAUAUGUUUGUGAAUAUCGUAAUGAUUUAUGCAAUGUCAUUAUUUUUGGCAUAUGUUUUCAUCGUAUUGUAUAACCAUCCAACCCAGCUAGCUGCGGUGUUACAUCAUCCUCACAUGACGAUGCAGCGUUGUCAUUAUCAACUACACUCAAUCGUUAUGAAAAUGUGCCUCCCCUUACUAUAUCAG